AGCGGCGGACGGGUUAGUAACGCGUGGGAACGUACCCUUUUCUACGGAAUAGCCUCGGGAAACUGAGAGUAAUACCGUAUACGCCCUUAGGGGGAAAGAUUUAUCGGAGAAGGAUCGGCCCGCGUUAGAUUAGAUAGUUGGUGGGGUAAUGGCCUACCAAGUCUACGAUCUAUAGCUGGUUUGAGAGGAUGAUCAGCAACACUGGGACUGAGACACGGCCCAGACUCCUACGGGAGGCAGCAGUGGGGAAUCUUAGACAAUGGGCGCAAGCCUGAUCUAGCCAUGCCGCGUGAGUGAUGAAGGCCUUAGGGUCGUAAAGCUCUUUCGCCUGUGAAGAUAAUGACUGUAGCAGGUAAAGAAACCCCGGCUAACUCCGUGCCAGCAGCCGCGGUAAUACGGAGGGGGUUAGCGUUGUUCGGAAUUACUGGGCGUAAAGCGCGCGUAGGCGGACAUUUAAGUCAGAGGUGAAAUCCCAGGGCUCAACCCUGGAACUGCCUUUGAUACUGGGUGUCUUGAGUUCGAGAGAGGUGAGUGGAAUUCCGAGUGUAGAGGUGAAAUUCGUAGAUAUUCGGAGGAACACCAGUGGCGAAGGCGGCUCACUGGCUCGAUACUGACGCUGAGGUGCGAAAGUGUGGGGAGCAAACAGGAUUAGAUACCCUGGUAGUCCACACCGUAAACGAUGAAUGCCAGUCGUCGGGCAGUAUACUGUUCGGUGACACACCUAACGGAUUAAGCAUUCCGCCUGGGGAGUACGGUCGCAAGAUUAAAAA
Molecule: ribosomal RNA, 770 nt
Filed under: Paracoccaceae bacterium
Lineage: Bacteria; Pseudomonadati; Pseudomonadota; Alphaproteobacteria; Rhodobacterales; Paracoccaceae
Description: bacterial SSU rRNA
Rfam family: Bacterial small subunit ribosomal RNA
Source: RNAcentral